CCUACGGGUGGCAGCAGUGAGGAAUAUUGGUCAAUGGCCGUAAGGCUGAACCAGCCAAGUCGCGUGAAGGAAGAAGGAUCUAUGGUUUGUAAACUUCUUUUAUAGGGGAAUAAAGGUAUCCACGUGUGGAUAUUUGCAUGUACCCUAUGAAUAAGCAUCGGCUAACGCCGUGCCAGCAGCCGCGGUAAUACGGAGGAUGCGAGCGUUAUCCGGAUUUAUUGGGUUUAAAGGGUGCGUAGGUUGUUUUUUAAGUCAGCGGUGAAAGUUUGUGGCUCAACCAUAAAAUUGCCGUUGAAACUGGAAGACUUGAGUGUGUUUGAGGUAGGCGGAAUGCGUGGUGUAGCGGUGAAAUGCAUAGAUAUCACGCAGAACUCCGAUUGCGAAGGCAGCUUAAUAAGCCAUAACUGACACUGAAGCACGAAAGCGUGGGGAUCGAACAGGAUUAGAUACCCCAGUAGUC
RNAcentral lists this ribosomal RNA (460 nucleotides) under uncultured bacterium. Its description in RNAcentral is "partial 16S ribosomal RNA". It matches the Rfam family "Bacterial small subunit ribosomal RNA", at positions 338 to 795 of the family's 1533-position model. The record is from RNAcentral.